Molecule: long non-coding RNA, 582 nt
Organism: Betta splendens (Siamese fighting fish)
Lineage: Eukaryota; Metazoa; Chordata; Actinopteri; Anabantiformes; Osphronemidae
Exons: 3
Source: RefSeq, a predicted model, not a curated record
GCAGCCCCUUCCUCUCAUUUCCUGCAUCAGGUGCUGAGCCUCCAUCGUCCUCACGCCGUCGUUUUCAGAGGGAGCGGUGGAGUCGCUGGGUCUGAGCCCAGAGAGCUGCUUCAUCAAACCUGACAGCUGUUCAACGUUUGGACCCAGGUGUUUCACAGCGGCGCUGUGGCGCCCGACCGCGCUCUGGAAACGAGGGGCGGUAAACAGGCACAUAUGGAGUUCAAGCGCGACGGAGGCCGAGCCCUUUGGCCCUUUUCAUCCACCUCUACCUUCACUGCAGCGGUGUCUGCGUUCAGCCUGUUCAGCCUCAGCAGCGAACCAGAACCUUGACCGGGGUUCUGCAGGCGCCGUUGCAGCGACGCCAGGCCGUCAUCCGGCUCCUCCGCGUUGGCGAGCGAAGCAGCGGAGCAGCCGUCGCAUCCUGUCGAGCACGAACAGGCAGCAGACCAGACAAAGACAGUUGUUACCUCCGCCACAGAACCCGUUGCUUGGCUGCCGGGUGAUGGAUCGCAGACCCUGCCGGUGCCGUGCGUCUUCUGCCGGAUCCGACCGGUUCUGUCACGUCUGUGCUUUGGAUCUGUC